GGGGGUAUAGCUCAGUGGUAGAGCUUGUGCUUAAUAUGCACGAGUUCCUGAGUUCAAUCCCAGUGCCUCUC
Molecule: transfer RNA, 71 nt
Filed under: Tupaia belangeri chinensis (Chinese tree shrew)
Lineage: Eukaryota; Metazoa; Chordata; Mammalia; Scandentia; Tupaiidae
Description: Tupaia chinensis (Chinese tree shrew) tRNA
Rfam family: tRNA
About the family: Transfer RNA (tRNA) molecules are approximately 80 nucleotides in length.
Source: Rfam by way of RNAcentral